GGCAACUACGACGGGUACGGGGAUUAGGGUUCGAUUCCGGAGAGGGAGCCUGAAAACGGCUACCACAUCCAAGGAAGGCAACAGGCGCGCAAAUUACCCAAUCCCGAUACGGGGAGGUAGUGACAAUAAAUAACAAUACAGGGCUCUUAUGGGUCUUGUAAUUGGAAUGAGUACAAUUUAAAUCCCUUAACGAGGAACAAUUGGAGGGCAAGUCUGGUGCCAGCAGCCGCGGUAAUUCCAGCUCCAAUAGCGUAUAUUAAAGUUGUUGCAGUUAAAAAGCUCGUAUUUGAAUUUCGGGGUUCUACCGUUGGUCGGGCAAUACUCUGUACUGGCGUGUAAAAUUUCUACCUUCUGGGGAACCAUCAUGUUAUUUAUUUAGCGUGGUGGGAAACCAGGACCUUUACCUUGAAAAAAUUAGAGUGUUCAAAGCAGGCUUACGUCUGAAUACAUUAGCAUGGAAUAAUAAAAUAGGACGGUGGUCCUGUUUUGUUGGUUUCUGAAUCACCGUAAUGAUUAAUAGGGAUAGUUGGGGGCAUUAGUAUUCAAUUGUCAGAGGUGAAAUUCUUGGAUUUAUUGAAGACUAACUUCUGCGAAAGCAUUUGCCAAGGAUGUUUUCAUUAAUCAAGAACGAAAGUUAGGGGAUCGAAGACGAUCAGAUACCGUCGUACUCUUAACCAUAAACUAUGCCGACUAGGGAUCGGACGAUGUUAAUUUUUCUUGACUCGUUCGGCGCCUUACGGGAACAAGG
This 748-nucleotide ribosomal RNA is filed under the name Gigaspora margarita. Its description in RNAcentral is "SSU rRNA". It matches the Rfam family "Eukaryotic small subunit ribosomal RNA", at positions 345 to 1102 of the family's 1831-position model. The record is from RNAcentral. Lineage: Eukaryota; Fungi; Glomeromycota; Glomeromycetes; Diversisporales; Gigasporaceae.